RNAcentral lists this ribosomal RNA (494 nucleotides) under uncultured bacterium. RNAcentral's name for it is "partial 16S ribosomal RNA". It matches the Rfam family "Bacterial small subunit ribosomal RNA", at positions 28 to 507 of the family's 1533-position model. The record is from RNAcentral.
GACGAACGCUGGCGGCGUGCUUAACACAUGCAAGUCGAACGGAAAGGCCUGCUUUCCCUUGUGGAUUGCGGGUACUCGAGUGGCGAACGGGUGAGUAACACGUGAGUGAUCUGCCCCCAACUUGGGUAUAAGCCUGGGAAACUGGGUCUAAUUCCCGAUAGGACUGCAGGGUGGUGCCUGUGGUGGAAAACGAUUUUCUAGUGGUUGGGGAUGAGCUCGCGGCCUAUCAGCUUGUUGGUGGGGUAAUGGCCUACCAAGGCGGCGACGGGUAGCCGGCCUGGGAGGGUGGACGGCCACAUUGGGACUGGGAUACGGCCCAGACUCCUACGGGAGGCAGCAGUGGGGAAUAUUGCACACUGGGCGGAAGCCUGAUGCAGCGACGCCGCGGGGGGGAUGCCGGCCUUCGGGUGGUAAACUCCUUUCGACCGCGAGGAAGCCACCUGGUUGGAAGGGUGGUGACGGUAGUGGUAGAAGAAGCACCGGCUAACUACGUG